GAUGAAGAACGUAGUGAAAUGCGAUAAGUAAUGUGAAUUGCAGAAUUCAGUGAAUCAUCGAAUCUUUGAACGCACAUUGCGCCCGCUAGUAUUCUGGCGGGCAUGCCUGUUCGAGCGUCAUUUCAACCAUCAAGCCCUGCUUGUGUUGGGGUCCUGCGGCUGCCCGCAGGCCCUGAAAACCAGUGGCGGGCUCGCUAGUCACACCGAGCGCAGUAGCACAUCUCGCUCAGGGCGUGCGGCGGGUUCUUGCCGUAAAACACCCCCUUUUUACCAAGGUUGACCUCGGAUCAGGUAGGAAUACCCGCUGAACUUAAGCAUAUCAAUAAGGGAGGA
Molecule: unclassified non-coding RNA, 333 nt
Filed under: soil metagenome
Description: partial contains 5.8S ribosomal RNA, internal transcribed spacer 2, and large subunit ribosomal RNA
Rfam family: 5.8S ribosomal RNA (bases 1-120)
Source: RNAcentral